UACUAGCGGUCCAAGUCGCAGCCACUAUUAUUGGGUCUAAAACAUCCGUAGCUUGCUUGGUAAGUUUCUUGUGAAAUUUGAUAUCUCAAGUAUCAAACGUGCAAGAAGUACUGCUAAGCUAGAGACCGGGAGAAGUGAGAAGUACGUCCGGAGUAGCGGUAAAAUGUGUUAAUCCCGGGCGGACUCACUAUAGCGAAGGCAUCUCACUAGAACGGUUCUGACAGUCAGGGAUGAAGGCUAGGGGCGCAAA
This 250-nucleotide ribosomal RNA is filed under the name uncultured Candidatus Pacearchaeota archaeon. RNAcentral's name for it is "partial 16S ribosomal RNA". It matches the Rfam family "Archaeal small subunit ribosomal RNA", at positions 474 to 723 of the family's 1478-position model. Lineage: Archaea; Nanobdellati. The record is from RNAcentral.